This 587-nucleotide ribosomal RNA is filed under the name uncultured bacterium. Its description in RNAcentral is "bacterial SSU rRNA". It matches the Rfam family "Bacterial small subunit ribosomal RNA", at positions 63 to 682 of the family's 1533-position model. The record is from RNAcentral.
CGCACGAGAAAGGGACUUCGGUCCUGAGUAAAGUGGCGCACGGGUGAGUAACACGUGAAUUAUCUACCUUCGAGUGGGGAAUAACUGGGAGAAAUCUCAGCUAAUACCGCAUAAUACCUACGGGUCAAAGCAGCAAUGCGCUUGAAGAGGAGUUCGCGGCAGAUUAGUUAGUUGGCGGGGUAAUGGCCCACCAAGACGAUGAUCUGUAUCCGGCCUGAGAGGGCGCACGGACACACUGGAACUGAAACACGGUCCAGACUCCUACGGGAGGCAGCAGUGGGGAAUUUUGCGCAAUGGGGGAAACCCUGACGCAGCAACGCCGCGUGGAGGAUGAAGUAUCUUGGUACGUAAACUCCUUUCGAUGGGGAAGAUAAUGACGGUACCCAUAGAAGAAGCCCCGGCUAACUUCGUGCCAGCAGCCGCGGUAAUACGAGGGGGGCAAGCGUUGUUCGGAAUUAUUGGGCGUAAAGGGUGCGUAGGCGGUUUGAUAAGUCUGAUGUGAAAUCUCUGGGCUCAACCCAGAGUCUGCAUUAGAAACUGUCGGGCUUGAGUAUGGGAGAGGUGAGUGGAAUUUCCGGUGUAGCGGU